Molecule: long non-coding RNA, 935 nt
Filed under: Vigna radiata
Lineage: Eukaryota; Viridiplantae; Streptophyta; Magnoliopsida; Fabales; Fabaceae
Description: long non-coding RNA (VRAD_LNC007441)
Source: RNAcentral
GUAAGAGACAUGUAUCCACUUUGCAGUCAAAUUUCAAAACACAACGUUAAAUUUAGUACAGAUGGAAAAUUUUCUAGGCCCUCUACUCUAACUAAAGAAAUACCACAACAUAGAUUCAAAUCCAAUGAGGUAUAAUGUAAUAACUAACUAACUAACUAGAUAGACUAUAAACUAACUCAACCACGUGAACCCUUUGUCCCUCUGACGGCAGAUGAUCUAUGUUGAAGGUUAGCAAACCAGAUUGGGGAUCGUGAUUGAAAUCAACCUCGUUGUUUUGCAGCAGACACCUAGUUGGUCUUGCCGACGAAUAAGCCCCGAACUUCCCACACCCUUUCAUCUCCACACGAACCAACGACUGGUUAUCCCCCACUUCAUACACCAGCCCUUCAACGGCACCACCACCAUUGAACAUGUUCAAAAGUCCAAUAGGGGAAAAGCUGUAACCAGGACCCAAAACCUUCACAGGCGCAACAGCAAACACCUCGUGUUCCAACACCUUAAGGGACACCGGCAGAGCCACAUUGCGUGGAAGCACCGUGAGCUGCCCAGAUUGGUGACCGUACAACGCGCAAUCACCGUUCCAAUCGCCAUCACCGGCAGCCUCCGCAAUCAGAUGCACAUCACCACCUCUCACAAACCCAGUGAUGGCAGCAGAAACCGUGUCAUGAAACGCAUUCUUCCUCUCAGCGGCACUCCACGCAGCCCCUUGGCAGUUAUAAACUCCCAACACCCCUCCGAACUUGUUCAUGUUCCAUAUUUUCAGUAAACUAACUCCGUCACGGGCCGGGUCACUGAACAAGCAGUCUUUAGUGGGCCUCCCGGGAAGACGGGCCCGAAGCACCGACCCAUCUGGCAGAACCAUCUUCUUAAGCAGAUCAAAAUCAUGCUUCCCCGGCGCGUCGCUCACAUAGAGCGGCCCACCGCUGAUGGCCCUA